GGGCCUGUAGCUCAGGUGGUUAGAGUGCACGCCUGAUAAGCGUGAGGUCGGAAGUUCAACUCUUCCCAGGCCCACCA
Molecule: transfer RNA, 77 nt
Filed under: Candidatus Mesenet longicola
Lineage: Bacteria; Pseudomonadati; Pseudomonadota; Alphaproteobacteria; Rickettsiales; Anaplasmataceae
Also listed under: 1 other name
Description: tRNA-Ile
Rfam family: tRNA
About the family: Transfer RNA (tRNA) molecules are approximately 80 nucleotides in length. Their secondary structure includes four short double-helical elements and three loops (D, anti-codon, and T loops).
Source: RNAcentral